This 429-nucleotide ribosomal RNA is filed under the name Bacteroidota bacterium. RNAcentral's name for it is "Bacteroidetes bacterium partial 16S ribosomal RNA". It matches the Rfam family "Bacterial small subunit ribosomal RNA", at positions 355 to 776 of the family's 1533-position model. Lineage: Bacteria; Pseudomonadati; Bacteroidota. The record is from RNAcentral.
UAGGGAAUCUUCCGCAAUGGGCGAAAGCCUGACGGAGCAACGCCGCGUGAGUGAUGAAGGUCUUCGGAUCGUAAAACUCUGUUAUUAGGGAAGAACAAAUGUGUAAGUAACUAUGCACAUCUUGACGGUACCUAAUCAGAAAGCCACGGCUAACUACGUGCCAGCAGCCGCGGUAAUACGUAGGUGGCAAGCGUUAUCCGGAAUUAUUGGGCGUAAAGCGCGCGUAGGCGGUCAAUUAAGUCUGAUGUGAAAGCCCCCGGCUCAACCGGGGAGGGUCAUUGGCAACUGUUUCACUUGAGUGCAGAAGGGGAGAGUGGAAUUCCAUGUGUAGCGGUGAAAUGCGUAGAUAUAUGGAGGAACACCGGUGUCGAAAGCGGCUCUCUGGUCUGUAACUGACGCUGAGGCUCGAAAGCGUGGGGAGCGAACAGG